Molecule: ribosomal RNA, 1645 nt
Filed under: human gut metagenome
Description: bacterial LSU rRNA
Rfam family: Bacterial large subunit ribosomal RNA
Source: RNAcentral
UAGUCAAGAGGGAAACAGCCCAGACCAACAGCUAAGGUCCCCAAUGCCGUACUAAGUGGUAAAGGAUGUGGAGUUUCGAAAACAACCAGGAUGUUGGCUUAGAAGCAGCCACCAUUAAAAGAGUGCGUAAUAGCUCACUGGUCGAGAGGCCUUGCGCCGAAGAUGUCCGGGGCUCAAGUACAGAACCGAAGUCGCGGCAGGAUUUAUAAUUCUGGGUAGGGGAGCGUUGUAUAUCCGACUGAAGGUGUACCGGAAGGAGCGCUGGAGGAUAUACAAGAGAGAAUGCCGGUAUGAGUAGCGAAAAGAACAGUGAGAAUCUGUUCCACCGAAAGCCUAAGGUUUCCUGAGCAACGCUCGUCGACUCAGGGUAAGUCGGGACCUAAGCCGAGGCAAAAAGCAUAGGCGAUGGACAACAGGUUAAUAUUCCUGUACCGCUUCAAAUCGUUUGAGCAAUGGAGUGACACAGAAGGUAGCUUGAGCACGCGAAUGGAUGUGCGUGUCGAAGGUGGUAGAUUGCAGUAUAGGCAAAUCCGUACUGUAUAAGAUCGAGAACUGAUAGAUAGACAAUACUUCGGUAAAGUCAAAUUCAAGUGAGCCAUGCUGUCGAGAAAAGCUUCUAGUGAGAGAUGAGGCGCCCGUACCGAAACCGACACAGGUAGGCGGGGAGAGAAUCCUAAGGUGCGCGGGACAACCCUCGUUAAGGAACUCGGCAAAUUGUAUCCGUAACUUAGGGAUAAGGAUAGCCGGAGGAUGUGAAGGGAUUUACUUCUGGAGCGUCAGCCGGUGGCACAAGAGAGGCCCAAGCGACUGUUUAGCACAAACACAGGUGCCUGCGAAAGAGAAAUCUGAAGUAUAGGUGCUGACACCUGCCCGGUGCUGGAAGGUUAAGAGGAGGGCUUAGAGGCAACUCGAAGGCUUGAAUUGAAGCCCCAGUAAACGGCGGCCGUAACUAUAACGGUCCUAAGGUAGCGAAAUUCCUUGUCGGGUAAGUUCCGACCCGCACGAAAGGUGUAACGACUUGGGCACUGUCUCAACGAGGGACCCGGUGAAAUUGAAGUACCUGUGAAGAUGCAGGUUACCCGCGACUGGACAGAAAGACCCCAUGGAGCUUUACUGCAACCUGACAUUGAUGUUCGGUAAAUAACGUACAGGAUAGGUGGGAGACGGAGAAGUAUUGGCGUUAGCUGAUAUGGAGUCAACCUUGGGAUACCACCCUUUAUUUAUUGGACCUCUAACUGAAGAAGUAACGACUCUCAGGACAGUAUCAGGCGGGCAGUUUGACUGGGGCGGUCGCCUCCCAAAAUGUAACGGAGGCGCCCAAAGGUUCCCUCAGCGCGAACGGAAACCGCGCAAAGAGUGUAAAGGCAGAAGGGAGCUUGACUGCGAGUCAGACACGACGAGCAGGUACGAAAGUAGGGCUUAGUGAUCCGGUGGUUCCGAGUGGAAGGGCCAUCGCUCAACGGAUAAAAGCUACCCUGGGGAUAACAGGCUAAUCUCUCCCAAGAGUCCAUAUCGACGGGGAGGUUUGGCACCUCGAUGUCGGCUCAUCACAUCCUGGGGCUGGAGCAGGUCCCAAGGGUUGGGCUGUUCGCCCAUUAAAGUGGUACGCGAGCUGGGUUCAGAACGUCGUGAGACAGUUCGGUCC